CCAGGAAGCACAGACAUUUAGAAGGUCCCCGUACAACUCAUGCAAGUAUUUUAUUAACAACAAUUUCUAUUCACAUUUAGAGAGUACUUGUGGACAAAAAUUCCAUGGAGCUUAUGGAAAAUAAGCAAGAUUGUCAGUCCUCAUGCACACAAUGUGCUCAGGUAAAGAAGGAGCUGACCUGCUGUGGCUGAUUUCAAUGGGGAAUUAGCAGACCUCGGUGUAUAAGUCAUUCAAACAAUACCUGGCUCACCAUCAAAGGUAGGUGAGGAGGGGACAGGAAGGGCAAGAGUGGCAACAUUAGACACCAGAGUAACUAAUAAAGGUCUCAAAGGGGGAAUUUCCUUUGUUCCAAAGAAAAAUCUGGCUGAUCGUGACAGCUCCUACGAAUUUACAGUAGGUGGAGGCUCAUGCCUCCCCUGCACCAAUACAAGUUUUAUUCAAGAUGAUCAGCAGAAAAAAA
Motacilla alba alba is the source of this 460-nucleotide long non-coding RNA. RefSeq lists it as uncharacterized. The transcript has 2 exons. The record is from RefSeq and is a predicted model, not a curated record. NCBI's taxonomy places the organism in Eukaryota, Metazoa, Chordata, Aves, Passeriformes, Motacillidae.